Molecule: ribosomal RNA, 635 nt
Filed under: uncultured bacterium
Lineage: Bacteria
Description: bacterial SSU rRNA
Rfam family: Bacterial small subunit ribosomal RNA
Source: RNAcentral
AUGCAGUCGACGGCAGCACGGACUUCGGUCUGGUGGCGAGUGGCGAACAGGUGAGUAAUGUAUCGGAACGUACCUUUCAGUGGGGGAUAACGUAGCGAAAGUUACGCUAAUACCGCAUAUUCUGUGAGCAGGAAAGCAGGGGAUCGCAAGACCUUGCGCUGAUUGAGCGGCCGAUAUCAGAUUAGCUAGUUGGUGGGGUAAAGGCCUACCAAGGCUACGAUCUGUAGCGGGUCUGAGAGGAUGAUCCGCCACACUGGAACUGAGACACGGUCCAGACUCCUACGGGAGGCAGCAGUGGGGAAUUUUGGACAAUGGGGGCAACCCUGAUCCAGCCAUGCCGCGUGAGUGAAGAAGGCCUUCGGGUUGUAAAGCUCUUUCGGCCGGGAAGAAAUCGCAUAGGCUAAUACCCUGUGUGGAUGACGGUACCGGAAUAAGAAGCACCGGCUAACUACGUGCCAGCAGCCGCGGUAAUACGUAGGGUGCGAGCGUUAAUCGGAAUUUACUGGGCGUAAAAGCGUGGCGCAGGCGGUUUAGUAAGACAGGCGUGAAAUUCCCCGGGCUCAACCUGGGAAACUGCGCUUGUGACUGCUAAGCUAGAGUACGGCAGAGGGGGGUGGAAUUCCACGUGUAGCAGU